RNAcentral lists this long non-coding RNA (221 nucleotides) under Salvia miltiorrhiza (redroot sage). RNAcentral describes it as "long non-coding RNA (SMIL_LNC002926)". Lineage: Eukaryota; Viridiplantae; Streptophyta; Magnoliopsida; Lamiales; Lamiaceae. The record is from RNAcentral.
GGGUGUGGGGGGUGGGGUUGGGGUGGGGUGAAAUCUUAUGCAUUUUUAUAUGAAACUUUAUGCAUUUUUAUAUGAAAGUUCAUGCAUUCUCGUAUGAAACUUUAUGCAUCUAAAAUAUACCUAUUUUGAGAAAAUCUAUUUUUUUUUUUUCGAAAAUUACAUUCCAAUUUUACCCCUCUCCAGAUUUUGCCUUGAAAUGCCUUGCCACGUGUCACCAUCUU